This 413-nucleotide ribosomal RNA is filed under the name uncultured Pseudomonadota bacterium. RNAcentral's name for it is "bacterial SSU rRNA". It matches the Rfam family "Bacterial small subunit ribosomal RNA", at positions 355 to 785 of the family's 1533-position model. Lineage: Bacteria; Pseudomonadati; Pseudomonadota. The record is from RNAcentral.
UGGGGAAUAUUGGACAAUGGGCGAAAGCCUGAUCCAGCAAUGCCGCGUGAGUGAUGAAGGCCUUAGGGUUGUAAAGCUCUUUUACCAGGGAUGAUAAUGACAGUACCUGGAGAAUAAGCUCCGGCUAACUCCGUGCCAGCAGCCGCGGUAAUACGGAGGGAGCUAGCGUUGUUCGGAAUUACUGGGCGUAAAGCGCACGUAGGCGGCUUUUCAAGUCAGGGGUGAAAUCCCGGGGCUCAACCCCGGAACUGCCCUUGAAACUGGAUGGCUAGAAUACUGGAGAGGUGAGUGGAAUUCCGAGUGUAGAGGUGAAAUUCGUAGAUAUUCGGAAGAACACCAGUGGCGAAGGCGACUCACUGGACAGUUAUUGACGCUGAGGUGCGAAAGCGUGGGGAGCAAACAGGAUUAGAUAC